GAUGAACGCUGACAGAAUGCUUAACACAUGCAAGUCGAUGGGGAAGUGGUGCUUGCACCAUGGUAACCAUGGCGGACGGGUGAGUAACGCGUAAGGAACUUGCCUGCGGGACUGGGAUAACAGCAGGAAACUGCUGAUAAUACCGGAUAAGGUCAUUAAGCUGCAUAGCUUAGUGAUGAAAGGAGACGCCUGCGGAGAGCCUUGCGUCCUAUUAGCUAGUUGGAGGGGUAACGGCCCACCAAGGCGAAGAUAGGUAGCCGGCCUGAGAGGGUGGACGGCCACAAGGGGACUGAGAUACGGCCCUUACUCCUACGGGAGGCAGCAGUGGGGAAUAUUGGACAAUGGGGGCAACCCUGAUCCAGCAAUUCUGUGUGCACGAAGACGGUUUUCGGAUUGUAAAGUGCUUUCAGCAGGGAAGAAGGAAGUGACGGUACCUGCAGAAGAAGCGACGGCUAAAUACGUGCCAGCAGCCGCGGUAAUACGUAUGUCGCGAGCGUUAUCCGGAAUUAUUGGGCAUCAAGGGCAUCUAGGCGGCCUUUCAAGUCAGGGGUGAAAACCUGCGGCUCAACCGCAGGCCUGCCUUUGAAACUGAUAGGCUGGAGUACCGGAGAGGUGGACGGAACUGCACGAGUAGAGGUGAAAUUCGUAGAUAUGUGCAGGAAUGCCGAUGAUGAAGAUAGUUCACUGGGCGGUAACUGACGCUGAAGUGCGAAAGCCGGGGGAGCGAAC
This 729-nucleotide ribosomal RNA is filed under the name uncultured Fusobacteriota bacterium. Its description in RNAcentral is "bacterial SSU rRNA". It matches the Rfam family "Bacterial small subunit ribosomal RNA", at positions 28 to 773 of the family's 1533-position model. The record is from RNAcentral. Lineage: Bacteria; Fusobacteriati; Fusobacteriota.